AUUUCAUGAUGAGGGCACUACUUUUUAAGCUCCUUAAAUCUCAUUCAAGUUUCAUAUAAAGUUUCAUCAUCCUUUGGUCUAAAAGCUACCAUCAAAUUCCUCAAAUU
Small nucleolar RNA from Hevea brasiliensis (rubber tree), 107 nucleotides. Lineage: Eukaryota; Viridiplantae; Streptophyta; Magnoliopsida; Malpighiales; Euphorbiaceae. The record is from RefSeq and is a predicted model, not a curated record.